Molecule: long non-coding RNA, 5270 nt
Filed under: Sus scrofa (pig)
Lineage: Eukaryota; Metazoa; Chordata; Mammalia; Artiodactyla; Suidae
Description: lncRNA (ENSSSCG00055001655.1)
Source: RNAcentral
GGGCCGCACCAGUGGCAUAUGGAAGUUCCCAGGCUAGGGGUCCAAUUGGAGCUAGAGCUGCCAGCCUAUACCAUGGCGACAGCAACGCAGGAUCCAAGCCACGUCUUCGACCUACACCACAGCUCACGGCAACACUAGAUCCUUGACCCACUGAGCAAGGCCAGGGAUCGAACCUGCAACCUCAUGGUUCCUAGUCGGAUUUGUUUCUGCUGCGCCAUGAAACUCCUUAAUUUCUCUUCUGAUAGUUCAUUAUUAUUAUACAGAAACACAACAGAUUUUUGCAUGUUGACUUUAUAUCCUACAAUUUUACUGAAUUUGUUUAUUCUAAUUUUUUGGUGAAGUCUUUAAGGUUUUCUACAUAUAAUAUCGUGUCUUCUGCCAAACAGUGACAGAUUUACUUCUUCCUUUCUGAGUUAGAUGCCCUUUAUUUCUUUUUCAUGACUAACUGUUCUGGCCAGGACCUCCAAUACUAUGUUAAAUAAAAGUGAUAAGAGUGGGCAUCUUUGUCUUCUUCUUGAUCUUAAAGAAAGGCUUUUAGCUUUUCACCACUGAGUAGGAUGUUAGCUAUGGAUCUGUUAUAUAUGGCCUAUAUUAUGUUGGGGUACAUUCCCUUUAUAACGAUUUUGUUGAAAGUUUUUAGCAUAAAUGGAUGUUGAAUUUCGUCAAAUGCUUUUCCUGCAUCUAUUGAGAUGACCAUGUUAUUUUUAACCUUAAGUUUAUUAAUGUAUCAUAUUGAUUGAUUUGUGGAUGUUGAACCAUUCUUGCACCCUUGGAAUAAAUCCCACUUGUUCAUGGUGUCAUCAUCUUUCUAUAGGAAAAAAUGACUGAGCCUGCCACUUCCUUCAGGAAGUUAUGGGAAUCACAAUGCAAAAAUCUCCUUAGCAUUUCAUCUGCUUCCUAACCUACAAACGCAUCUAUGUGCAUAUUAUUCUUAUCUUUCAAAUUUUUUAUUCAUUUAUUGCAUAUCCCACUCUCACAGGCAGACAUUCCUCCUCUUAUUCAAAGUUUAUUUUUGUGCAUGUACUAAAAACCCUCCACGACCUCUGUGAAGCCCUCUAUCACUUAUCCUGUCUCUUGCUUAUAUAUUCAACUCAUCCAUUUUUAUUUACUCCUUCCUACAGUUUACAAACAUUUUUUAAAAAUCUCAUCAAUUCUGUAUUGUCUUCUAUCUCCAUGAAUCUUUCUCCUUCAAUUCAGAGUUUUAAAAAACAGCACCACACAUUCAUUGUCUCCACUUUCUGCCUCUCAUAGCUUGACUCCCUGAAAUCUAGCUUCCAACCCCUCCGCUCCAUCAAAAUUACUUUUGUUAAAAUUCGUUACGAUCUCCUAAGACCUUCUAGAUAAAAAACCUAAGUAAUCCUCUCGAGUAUAUUUGGGGUUAAUAGACACAAACUAUUGCCUGUGGAAUGGAUAAGCAAUGAGAUCCUGCUGUGCAGCACUGGGAACUAUGUCUAGUCACUUAUGAUGGAGCAGGAUAAUGUGAGAAAAAAGAAUGGAUACAUGUAUGUGUGACUGGGUCACCUUGCGGUACAGUAGAAAGUUGACAGAACACUGUAAACCAGCUAUAAUGGGAAAAAUCAUUAUAAAAAACAAAAAUGCUGCAAUCACACAAAAAAAUAUUCUCAAGUAUUUAUUUUUGUGGUUUUUGCAGCAUAUGGUCCUAUCCCAUUUAUUAUUCCCUCCAUGAAAUUUCCUUCACCACAGGUUUCCAUGACACUGCUCUGCUGUGUUUUCUGACCUCUGCAGUGCUCUUUCUCAGUCUUCCCAAGUCCAACCCCUUAAAUGUUGGUGUUCCCCAGGGUUCUGUCCCGGCUCUCCUUUCUCACUCUAAAUUCUCUCUCUGAAUGAUUUCAUCUGUAUAUUUCAUUCCUUCAACUGCAACCACAGAUCCUGGAAUCACAACAGUAAACGGCCCUCCUCCUAAGGGGCUUACGGUCUAGUGAGAGAAAACCAGCCAUUAAAUGAAUAAUCACAUAAGCAAUACCAUCGCCAAAGUGAUAAUGACCUUGAAGGAAAAGAAGGCGGCUCUUUGACACUGAAAGCAGGGGAGCUAAGCUAACCGACAGGCACAGUGAGAGUUUCUAGGAGAAAGUGACACGAAGCUGACCAAAAAGCAAGGUGAGAGAGAAAUAUUCCAAGUUCAGAAAACACCACGCAAGGUGGUCUGAGGUGGAGAAAUUUCCUUUGAAAGAUAGGAAACAACAUGUGGAAGGCUGCAGAAGUUAGAAAGGAUCCCGUUUGGAUAAGAGCCAGUUAUCCCAAAGCGGUGGAGGAGCUGAGUGCUGGAGGGAAGAUCAGAAUGGACUAUGCAGAGACCAGAAGGGGAAGGGCAUUUUCUGACUUACUGUGGAGUUUGUUUAUUUAUUUAUUGGAUUUUUUUGUGGUCACACCCACAGCCUACGGAACUUCCCAGGCCAGGCAAUGAAUUCAAGCCGAAGCUGUGACCUAUACUGCAGCUGCGGCAACACCAGAUCCUUUAACGCACUGCACCCGGUUGGGGAUUGAACCCACGUCUCCACAGCAACCCGAGCCACCGCAGUCAGAGUCUUAACCCACUGUGCCAUGGCAGUAACUCCACUAUGGAGUUUAAAAGGUAUGGUUAUUGUUGAUGAGGUAGGUGCCUUUGAAAGAUUUCGUCUGGUGGCAGCAAAAGGAAGUUUAUUUGAAGUUGAGGAACAAUAGUGUCAGCGAGAGAAGUUCUGAAAAGGAGCAGGGUCCCGUGGGGCUCCUGGACACAAGCCUUUCCGUGUUCCCCCCAGUUCUUGUUUUUUGGGAGUGGCCUUCAGCCUCCGUGACCUUCCCUGAGUUCCAAAAGACAGGUUCCAUGGUUGCUAAUCAGGGAAGGGACGGGACGCAGAGAUGGGGGCAGAGCAUGCGGUACAGGUGCAGCCCUAAAAGGGGAAGCAGUGGUGCAACCUUGGGGCAGGAUCCUGGUUCCUCUUCAGGGACGAUGCAUAGCAAUGUCUUUGAGUUCUUCUGCAGAACUGAAACCCCCUACAAAUGAAAACACACAGGAGGACCACCAGAUCCAGUCCAUGCUUCCUAGGCACCAACUUUGAAGAAGAAUGAACGCUUGCAUCUACCCUGAUCCUUAUCUGCAGCCCUAUUUUCCACUCCCAAACCAUAAAAUCACAUCCUAAUCUCUCCCAAGGGAGGGCAUGGUCUUUAGGGCAUUAGCCUUUGCCUGGCAAAGCAAUAAAGCUGUUUUUUCCUCCUUCGCCCCAAACUCUGUCUCCAUGCUUCUAUGUGGCACUGGUAGUCAGAGGCCAAGUUUCAGCAACAGUUUGAAAUAGCAGGGAUAAAAUGAGCAUCUGUAAAAUAGGAGCAGUGGAAAUGGAAAUGAGAGAAUAGAGUUAAGAAAUGUACAAAUGGAAGAGAUAACACAACGUGGGCAGAUUGGCUCUGCAGAUCAGGGAGAGGCAGAGGAUGCCAGAAAAAAUAAUCCCUACUGAGGGAGUUCCCGCGGUGGCUCAGUGGUAAUGAACCUGACUAGUAUCCAUGAGCAUGCAGGUUCGGUCCCUGGCCUCUCUCAGUGGGCUAAGGAUCCAGCAUUGCUGUGAGUUAUGGUGUGGGUCACAGACACAGCUCGGAUCUGGCAUUGCUGUGGCUGUGGUUAGGCUGGCAGCUGUAGCUCUGAUUGCAUGCCUAGCCUGGGAACUUCCAUAUGGUACAGGUGCAGCCCUAAAAAAGAAAAAAAAAAGAAUCCCUACUGACAUCGGGAGAAAGGUCAGGCCUGGACAAGGGGCCAGGGAUCUGAGCUCCAUAAACAUAACUGCCAACUCAAGCUCUCCACUGGGGUAACCCAGGUGUCUCCCUCCUAAACUUCCUCUCCUCCCGUCUCCUCCGUGACAGCAAUUAUACCAUCACCCUCCCAGGGCUCUGUUCAGUCAGUCCUUGACGCCUCCACCCUGCUCAGUACCCACGUCCAAACAAGGACUGACCCCACUGUCGCAGCAAUAUAUCUCCUAAAAGUCUCAAAUAGACCCUUCCCUCUGCUGCAGCUCCCAACACCCGGAAUCAAGUCAUCUUUAAGUCUCACCAAGACGGCUUCGUAGGUGGUAUUUCUGCAUAAACACCCACCCCCUCUGUAUCCGAUCCAGCUCCACACGUACUGAGGUUAUUACAUGAGCAAACAGCCACAAUCCCAGACUCACAUGAGCAAAGGUGGGUUAUCGAGUAGACACUUGUAAUGUGAAUGAGUCAGCAGUAUGACAGGAGAAAUGAACAACGUAAGCAAAUUGAUCCUCUGUCAGCAGAAGACAGCACAAAGAUGCGGCUCCUGGCUUAAUGGCAGCGCCUCUGGGUCAGUUCUUACAGGUGCAUGUAUGCUUUCGGCCAGUGAGGAUGAAAUAAAAGAACAGCAACAAAGUUUGUGCUUGAAGUGGGAGAACAGGGUGGUAUGAAAAACGUCAUUUCAGGGCACACAUGCUGGUCUUGGUGCCAGAGGUAAAGGCGUUGGCUCUUCUGCACUAUCUUUUAUAAGCCAGACACAGGCAAGCAUUUUUUUCAUUCUAAUAUUUUAGCAUUAAACUUUUCCAUUAAUGAUUUUUAGGGGCCUUUCCAUAUCUCCCUGGUGAUUUAUCAGCUGUAUUUUUCCCUUACUUCAUUUCGCAUUUUUUCCUACUGCUAUAUAUCUUAGUGAAUCCUUCCUUUUGCUUUUGGCAGACUAUUUUUUAAAGGCUAAUUUUUCUACCAUACUUUGUAUUUGUCUUCCAGUUUCUUCCCUCACUCCCUUUGGUUAUUCUCAGUCCAUUCUUUUUUUUUUUUUUUUUUUUUUUUUUUUUUUUUUUUUUUUUUUUUUUUGCUUUUUAGAGCCGCACCCACGUCAUAUGAACAUUCCAAGGCUAGGGGUCAAAUCGGAGCUGCCGACCUACACCACAGCCACAGCAAUGCAGGAUCCAAACUGAGUCUGCAAACUUACACCUCAACUCACUGCAAGGCUGGAUCCUUACCCACUGAGCAAGGCCAGGGAUCCAAGCCACCUUCUCAUGAAUACUAGUCGGAUUGGUUUCUGCUAUGCCACAAUGGGAACUCCUCUGUGUCCCUUCUUCUCCUAAUGUCAUCUUCACUUGGCUUCUCUUCGCCCACGAAACCAUGUGAGCUUGCUUCUAAGAUCUCCUUUCCUCUGCAAACAUUUGUUUCUUCCCUAUAACCCCCCAGGUGUGUCACUUAGAGCCCGUGGGCCUUGAAAAAAUAAAACACCCUAUCAGGGCAUCAGGAGAUAAAGUCCUCAGCGUCUCGGGGAGAGGCCACCCUCCUCCUGAUUGUUC